This 1045-nucleotide long non-coding RNA is filed under the name Dromaius novaehollandiae (emu). RNAcentral describes it as "lncRNA (ENSDNVG00000010911.1)". Lineage: Eukaryota; Metazoa; Chordata; Aves; Casuariiformes; Dromaiidae. The record is from RNAcentral.
AACCUCUGUAACAGAGCGGAGUCUUUGACUACAUUGCUAAGUCACUUGCCAGAGGAAUAUUAUGCCUAACACAUCCAUUCACAUCGGAAACCUGGAAAGCAGCAGUGAGCUAGUAGCAACUGCAGUGCUGUGGCGGUGCCAUUCUGGCCUAUAUUGCUGUAAGAACACAGAGGAUUUUGCAGCAGCAGAGAAGAGAAGAUUUUGCUGUAGCGAUUGUGAGGAGUCUUUUCUAUACAGGUCAUUUGGGACCCUGCAGCAGUGAGCCAGUGGAAAUGGAUGUCAACAAAGAACCAGAGAACUGGGAUCCUUUCAGCAUUGUGAAGCACUUUAAUGGAGGAGCACAUUGCUCAGGCAACGCAAACAGCUAUUUAAAUCUUGGAGGUCGACUGGAAGGCUUUUGCUUAGAGGUUCCCCCCUCCCCCCUUUUUUUCUUUCCUUGUUAAUGGCAAGUAUAAUGGAAGAGAGAGACUUCUCAUUGAUCAGGGUCCAAUUUCUUUUACAUCGGCAUUUUCACUGUUUUUGAAAUCACAAUUAAAAACAUUUUUAAUAUUGAGUUGCUUCAGCUCUACCACAUGGUCUUUUAUGAAUGCUUUCUUGCAGGCAAAUCAGUUUUUAAUGUGAACCAACACCCUUCCUUUUACCAUGAACUAUAAUAGAUUUGUUCUUCAGUGUGCGCUCAAAUGUUGUCACUUUUUUUAACCCUGGACAUGUCCAGUUUUGUAUAUUGCAUGGCAGAAUCAAAGCUGAAAUGGUGUUUUGAAAAGGUGAUUUUAGACCUGCUGUUUUUGAAGGACGACAGAGCCCUCCGAAGAACGUCUGUGAUCUUCUGAGUAUUUCCUAUAAAGCAUCCCCCAAGCACAGUUUUCUGAAAGUAUUUUCCUCUGUAGCAAAGGCUUAAAAAAAAAAAAAAAUUAAAAAAAAUAGUAUGCUUUCUGUGCUGGUAACACCUGGUUGCAGAACGUGUCCUGACAUCAGUAAUGUGGUUGCUCUGCUCUUUUAGAAAUAGUGUGGGGAAUAAAAAGAAGAAAAAGCUGACCUUUUGCCA